RNAcentral lists this long non-coding RNA (798 nucleotides) under Strongylocentrotus purpuratus (purple sea urchin). Its description in RNAcentral is "uncharacterized LOC115926593, transcript variant X3". The record is from RNAcentral. Lineage: Eukaryota; Metazoa; Echinodermata; Echinoidea; Camarodonta; Strongylocentrotidae.
AGUUUUGAUCGUUUUUGAGCAAUGUAUAUAAAUGUCUACAACUUCAGUAAUUUUCAAAGUCUAAUCUUGCUUAAUUACGUCAUACGUGACGUCACGAAACGUAUCACAAGCGGUACAACUGGCAAACACCGUUUUCACGAAGUGGCCUCUUACGCGCAAAUGUAGUCUGCUAUUGAUAAUUGUACAGGAACCGGCUCCGCGAAGCCUUUGUCACAGAUGCCGGUGCUUCUGGCGGAAUUGUUAGAGGAAUCUGACAGCCCUAGUUUACCAGUAAAAUAGACAGCUGGGAUACGCAAGAGAUGAGGGACCACUAGCACCCCCAGUGGUUGAUGUCCAUGUAGGAGUUUGUGCAGCUGAUGUGGAGAGCUUUUAGCAAAUUGACAAGCAUCUUCACCCUCUGCCCUUGAACUGAUUGCUUUUCCAAUACCAUGGUUUGGAGGUCAGACCAAACGACUGACAGACCGACCGACUGAAUAGCUAAGUCCCCUCAGUCAUCAAAGGAUGGACAAAAAUACAGAAGUUAUUGUUAGGUGGGAUCGUGAUGGAGAGAUCAAUUGUGGCAAGAAACGAGAUCUUCGAUAUAACGGAAGGCUUAGGGUGGGUUCAAGAGUCACUAUGAGCUAGAUGGAUGUGGACUGGACGGGGACUGCAACGCUGACAGGAGACUCUGACUCCGAAUGUGCCUCCAUUUAGAGGUUUUGUGGUCUAGUGGAUAAGUCGUUGGACUGUGGAUCACAGGAUCCAUGGUUCAAGUCCCGCCACAGCAGUAAUGUCUUUUGGCAAGAUAUUAAUCUACAU